UACAGAGGGUGCAAGCGUUAAUCGGAAUUACUGGGCGUAAAGCGCACGUAGGCGGUUGGUUAAGUUGGAUGUGAAAGCCCCGGGCUCAACCUGGGAAUUGCAUUUGAAACUGGGAAACUAGAGUGUGUGAGAGGGGGGUAGAAUUCCAAGUGUAGCGGUGAAAUGCGUAGAGAUUUGGAGGAAUACCAGUGGCGAAGGCGGCCCCCUGGCACAACACUGACGCUCAGGUGCGAAAGCGUGGGGAGCAAACAGG
Molecule: ribosomal RNA, 253 nt
Filed under: uncultured bacterium
Lineage: Bacteria
Description: partial 16S ribosomal RNA
Rfam family: Bacterial small subunit ribosomal RNA
Source: RNAcentral